Molecule: ribosomal RNA, 465 nt
Filed under: uncultured bacterium
Lineage: Bacteria
Description: bacterial SSU rRNA
Rfam family: Bacterial small subunit ribosomal RNA
Source: RNAcentral
GGACCCGCACAAGCGGUGGAUUAUGUGGAUUAAUUCGAUGCAACGCGAAAAACCUUACCUACCCUUGACAUGUCCGGAAGCCUGGUGAGAGCUGGGUGUGCCCGAAAGGGAACCGGAACACAGGUGCUGCAUGGCUGUCGUCAGCUCGUGUCGUGAGAUGUUGGGUUAAGUCCCGCAACGAGCGCAACCCUUGUCAUUAGUUGCUACAUUCAGUUGGGCACUCUAAUGAGACUGCCGGUGACAAACCGGAGGAAGGUGGGGAUGACGUCAAGUCCUCAUGGCCCUUAUGGGUAGGGCUUCACACGUAAUACAAUGGCGCGUACAGAGGGCUGCUAAGCCGCGAGGUAGAGCCAAUCCCUUAAAGCGCGUCGUAGUCCGGAUUGCAGUCUGCAACUCGACUGCAUGAAGUCGGAAUCGCUAGUAAUCGCGGAUCAGCAUGUCGCGGUGAAUACGUUCCCGGGUCUU